GCAUUAUUUAUGAUCGUCUCUGUCUACCCAGCAAACACAGAACGUUGUGAGGACGUCGCCAGUUUGUCGUCAUUUGGUCAACGCAACAUUACUUUAUGGCAACGUUGUGAGGACUUCGUGGUAAAGUUCCAUUUUUAGGAGCUCGGCUAACAUCCCAGAAACGUCGUGGGCAAGUCCUCAAAAGACGUCGCUAGGUAGUCCCAUUGGGGACGUUGUAGCGACGUGAUCAGCUGGUCUCCAGAUAACUUUUCAUAUUAUUCCACUGCAUGUAUUAUUAUUAUUAUUAAGAUACCAUUUGAAUAGCCUAUUAUUUGAGAAAUAUACUAAAUUCAUCAAGAAUUUUAAAAGAUGGCAUGAAUUAUUAUUAUAUUUUUAGAUAUAUAAAACAUUUAUCAAAUUAACGACAAAACAAAUAACAAAUAGUUUGCUUAGCAAAUGGUGAUAAUGUUCGUUAAUGACAGAUUUAUUGAAAGAGGGCACGGGACAAAUUAACAUUUAAACUAGCAGCGCGCGUCACUUUCUGAGUACUGUAACGUUAAGUGCGCGUGCCCGUCAUUAACGGUCAACUUCCAGCGGACGGACACGGAGGAAAAGGUAAGCGCUAUAAAUCUACUUUUAUUCAUAGUUUCUACUGAUAUAAAGUUAGAUGUCACCAAAGAGGAGUAGUGUUUUGUAUUUUUGUAGGUUUUCUUAUUCAGUUUAAUAAAUAAAAUGCUCUGUUUGGUUAGUUAGCUUAAGAGCAGUCUCAGAGGCGGUCUAAGAUAACGUUAACUAUUAAAAUCUUGAGAUACAAUUUUAUACCUGUUUUAAAUUAUUUGACAUUUAACACGAUAAACUAUACAAUAUUCACUUUCUAAUUCUUUAAAAUUUAACCGUAGUAACGUUAAUUAGUUUGUUUGAAUGUCUGCCGCUCGCGCUUGAUGAUGCUCACGCUAGUCAUAUUGUGAACUUGAAUAUAAACCGCUGUAUAAAGUUUAACGUUAAUUAGACCGAGGCUGCCGAAAUCAUGUUCAGUGUAUGUGGGAUUAAUGAUUUCCCCUUUUCUCCCUCAAGUGGUAGGCCUGUAAAUCCUGUCAUCUGCUCAUUAUUGGUGUUAAUGGUGUUUUUCACAUGCAUACUUUUUUAUGCUAGUUUCAUUCUCAAAUAGAUCUGAUACUUUAGUUUCAACAAAUAUUUAAUAAACAAAUGGUUCACUUUUUUUAGGUCCUGACUGCCACCAGUUGAGUCAAUGAUUCAGUGGAGAGACAGUCUGGGCAGCAGCAACAAGACAACUAUUACAAAUAGAGACGGGUUUCAAAAACUGACACAACCACAUAUCAUCUAAAUCAUCUCCAAGUGGAUGUCAGCAAGGAUCCAGGAUCAAGAGAUCAUUCUUCAUGAAGACUGUUCCAUAGGAAGCAGUGAAUCCUGGUUUGUUAUAUGUUUCAGGUCAUCCUGACCAUUCUACUGUCCUGGACGUGAGGAUAUGCUGAAACUGCAUUUCUCAUGGUUAAAAGAUUUGUGCAGCAGUAUCCAGAUAUACAAACAGCGUUUCUGGACCCACACGACUAAAGGCUCAGGAGGAGAGACAGGGAAAGAUGAAAAAUAAGGAAGUCUGGGAACAACUGAAGAAGACAACAGUGAGGAAAGGAAGUAAUAAUCAGAAUCUCAGAGAAGGAUAUUGACGGUGCAGGCUCAGGAUGAAGAAGAGGGGGAAGAACACGUUUAACAAUUUUCUCAUACCUUUGCCAUGUGUUAAAAUAAAAACAAUAAACCUGACUACAAUAAUAUGCUAAAUGUUAUUAAAAGAUUCCAGUUUGCAAUAAAUCUGGAGUCUCUGACUCUGCACUAGAGGAACUCUUUCCUGAAGAAGAUCAGGUGCUGAGAAGGAGCCUUGUUCUACAGCAAAACACUGCAUCAAGCCUCCUGUCCUUCCCUCAGAAGAGCCUGUCUUCUGCUGCUGGGGUAAGAAAGACACUCUUCCUCUUCUCUAUCAGAUGUCCAGCACCUAACUCUGCCUCCGCAGCACUGUCUGAAAGAGUCUUCUACACAGUCAGUUAUCAGAGAUUACACAUUCUCCUGAGAAACUCAACACG
Molecule: long non-coding RNA, 2075 nt
Organism: Cyprinus carpio (common carp)
Lineage: Eukaryota; Metazoa; Chordata; Actinopteri; Cypriniformes; Cyprinidae
Exons: 6
Source: RefSeq, a predicted model, not a curated record